This is a long non-coding RNA of Prionailurus viverrinus (fishing cat), 2112 nucleotides long. RefSeq lists it as uncharacterized. The record is from RefSeq and is a predicted model, not a curated record. NCBI's taxonomy places the organism in Eukaryota, Metazoa, Chordata, Mammalia, Carnivora, Felidae. The transcript is spliced from 3 exons.
CCUCCCCCGCCCCCCCUCCCCUUUCCACAUUCCACCUCGGCCGCUUCCUCCCCGGGCCGGGGCUCUCCUUCCGACCUCUGCUUUUCUGCUCCAAGAAGAAGGCGGGCCAGUUUCGCAACGCAGAAGGGGAAAAGAAACCGAUUACACACAGCUGCCACCCGUCGCCCUUGUCAAACAUCGGGUUCCCUCCCGCACAUGAUCUCAUUUAAUCCUCAAAUCAUCCCUGAACAGGUACGUCCUCAUUUACUGCCCUCCUUUGGAGAGGCUGUACGUGGUGGCGGCUAGAGUUUGGACUCUGGAACCUGCCUUAGCAUCUCGGCUCCGCAGUUUACCAGCCGUGUGACCUGGGGGAAGUCCAACCUCUCCGUGCCUCAGUUGCUCGAUCUGUAGUUACUUCGUCCAGGAGUUGUUGUAAAGAUUAAAUGAACAAUGACACGAGUGCGUUAAACGGUAACAUGACGAACAGGAAUAUGUAUUGCCUGUCCUUCUGUCUUUUCGCGAUAGGGUGCUAACACAAUGAGGUGUGUUCUUUUUACUCUGCCACGGCCCAUUCAUUCGCUAGGAUUGACAACCUGGUGUGCGUUGAUCUUAACCAUAAAUCAGUUUCUGACGGUGUCUUGGAUGUGCACUGUGCCUUGUAGACUCAAGCUAACGUUACUGCUUCUGUUGCACCCUCGUCGAAACGUCUGUGAAGAAGCACUAGCAGGUUAAGGAUCCCCAACUUUGGAAAAGGAACGUGAUGUGAAACUAGAAUUCUCUGUUAAAAAGCCUUGUGGAAUUUUGCAAAUUACAGAAGUAGUACAUGCCUGUCAGAAGCUGGGACAAACAGUACAGAAGUGUAUUAAAGAGAGUUAGGCGCCCCCUGCACAUGCUUCGAGGCGCUCAGGGGUAAGAGCUUGGCAGGCAUCUGUGCACCUUUCCUUGCAUUUUUUUUUUUUUUCACGCUCAGAUACUCCUUUAUGUGGGUUUCCCCCUCCCUUUGUUCCCUCCUUCUGUUAAAAAUGGAGUCACUUACGUUAAACCCCACCAAAACUUAGUACCCAGGCUAAUUGCAGCUUCCCAGCUUCCCCAGAAAUGUGGUCCUUAACCAACCUGGGACUUUUCUGGUCAGCAUUUGGAGGUAACGCUGCUGGACCCUCCCGUUCCCCUUAGGGGGGGUGACCUUGCCUAAAACAAUGCAUUCUUUGCUAAGAAUACCGGCCCACCCCCCCCCACCUUUAAAACCCUCGGCUGCAGCUCAGUGGAGCUCCUUACUAUCUGCUAGAUGGAGUGCUGGCAAUUUGAUCUUUACAUUUACUCAGUUGAAUUUUUUUCUUUUCUUUUUUUCUCGUUUUUAAGUGUUUAUUUAUUAUCGAGAGACAGAGCACGAGCAGGGGAGGGGCAGAGAGAGAGGAGAGAGUGAGAAUCCCAAGCCGGCUCCUCACCGCCAGCACAGAGCCGGACACGGGGUUCAAACUCAUGAACUGGGAGAUCAUGACCUGAGCCACCCAGGCGCCCCAUGCCAGGCUUUCUUUUAAACAAAAGCGAGAUAAUUCCUCUGGAGAGACAUCCAAAAAGCUAUUCCACAGGUUCCCUCAAGGAAGGGAAACGUGAAACUUGGGAACAGAGGUGCAAGGGAGAUUGAGUUUUGACUGUGCCCUUUUGUGUUGUAGGGGCGAAGGCCGACUGCCCCCAAGAUGUGCCGCUUUGGUCACGCAGACCAUGCCGAGCUGAAAACAAUCCAGGCCCAGAAGACGCAGGGAGAAAUUUUGACCUUGCCCCCAAAACUGCCUCAAAGAAAUGAGAUUGGGGACGUGCUCCGGGAAGGGAGCCAUUGCCAUAUUUACCUACAUUAUAAUGUGAAGUAGGUAUGGUGGAGAGCGAGGAAUUCAGCAAAGUCUGGUUGAUCAAUAUCUUCCCUGUGUCCCAUUGUUUCUGGAUGACCCAGUCAACAUUUAUUUACCACGUUCGCUCUUUUUCAUUCUUCCUGUGAGCAUUCCUUCCCUUUGUAGUCUCAGACUCCUUCCUCCUCCUUAGUUCAGGGUGACUUCGCACUGCCUGGCUGUCUUUGGAAUCUUACGCGUGUGUGGAUUCCCUAUGCCCCUGAAAUUAAAUUUGAUUUUCUCCUGUUAA